GGGGAAUAUUGCACAAUGGGCGAAAGCCUGAUGCAGCGACGCCGCGUGAGGGAAGAAGGCUUUCGGGUUGUAAACCUCUUUCAGGAGGGACGAAGCUACUCGGGUUAAUAGCCCAGAGGGUGACGGUACCUGCAGAAGAAGCGCCGGCUAACUACGUGCCAGCAGCCGCGGUAAUACGUAGGGCGCAAGCGUUGUCCGGAAUUAUUGGGCGUAAAGAGCUCGUAGGCGGUUAGUCGCGUCUGCUGUGAAAACUCGAGGCUCAACCUCGGGCUUGCAGUGGGUACGGGCUGACUAGAGUGCGGUAGGGGUGACUGGAAUUCCUGGUGUAGCGGUGGAAUGCGCAGAUAUCAGGAGGAACACCGAUGGCGAAGGCAGGUCACUGGGCCGCAACUGACGCUGAGGAGCGAAAGCAUGGGGAGCGAACA
This 425-nucleotide ribosomal RNA is filed under the name uncultured Cellulomonas sp. Its description in RNAcentral is "bacterial SSU rRNA". It matches the Rfam family "Bacterial small subunit ribosomal RNA", at positions 356 to 774 of the family's 1533-position model. The record is from RNAcentral. Lineage: Bacteria; Bacillati; Actinomycetota; Actinomycetes; Micrococcales; Cellulomonadaceae.